This is a long non-coding RNA of Anthonomus grandis grandis, 360 nucleotides long. RefSeq lists it as uncharacterized. NCBI's taxonomy places the organism in Eukaryota, Metazoa, Arthropoda, Insecta, Coleoptera, Curculionidae. The transcript has 2 exons. The record is from RefSeq and is a predicted model, not a curated record.
CUGCUGUUAGUCUUGACCUAGAUGUGUUUGUAAGCGGUUAACCACAGUAGUCACUAUAACGGGCAUCUCUAACUGAUAUUAAUAAGAUAUAGUAUCUAAAAUAUACUUACGAGGCAACAUAUCUUCGAAGGGGUAAAAGCAGGCAACAAUGAGAUUUAUCAAUACAGCGCAGUUAAAAAGGAUAUUGCUCCAUAAGGACAUAUAGCUGCUAACCCAAAAGAGUACCGGUUGUGCUAAAAAAUAAAUUAUUACAAUAAGUGCAAGUUUCCUUAACAAAUCAACAGGUACACGUUGUUAGGUCUUAAAAUAUUUUUUAAGAUAUUUAAAAUAUUUUUUUAUUAAAAAUAUUUAAAAAGUAAA